Long non-coding RNA from Triticum aestivum (bread wheat), 2636 nucleotides. RefSeq lists it as uncharacterized. Lineage: Eukaryota; Viridiplantae; Streptophyta; Magnoliopsida; Poales; Poaceae. The record is from RefSeq and is a predicted model, not a curated record. The transcript is spliced from 11 exons.
AAAAAAACACGAUCGAGAGCCGGACUGGGCAGCGAGCCAGCGGCCUUUCCUCCUCUUCAUGGACAGCGCUGCUCCUCCGCGGCUAGGGUUACCGCCGCCGCCGCGGUCGCAGCCGCCGUCGCCGCCGCCGUCGUCCUGCGCUCGUGUCCUCUCCAUCUCCCGCCUGCCGGAUGUCCGCCCGGAGCUCCACCUCCUCAAACCCUGCCAGUGCUCUGCCCCCUCCUCCUCGUUUGUCGCUCGGGGGCAUGGCGUCGUCUGGGACGUACCAGCCCGCACCCUCAAGGAGGCGGAGGACGCCUGCCUCCUUGCCAGUCCUGGCGCCUCCAAUGGCCGGCCGGCUCCAGUAGCAGCCACCAACGUACGUGAUCUCCCCCGGCUACCUUUAUCUAAAGCUCAAGGCUCGAAGGGAUGAGGUGGGCCAAGCCGGCGCACACGGCAAGUGGAUGCGGCUGCAGCUCCGACGCGGGCGCCGCAGAGGUGUAUGUGGAGCUGCUGCGGCUGGCGAUGGACGGCCGCGACGGCGACGUCAGCUUCCACGAGUUCAAUCACCUCCACUGCUACAUCAGGAGGUAGCUAGGGUGUAAUCAUGCACAAAGCGUUGGGUUCUCCAUGGAUCGUUUUGCGAUAACUACAACCAUGAGAGAACUUGAACUUAUUUGGGUGGCAAAUAGGAUGCACAUUGAGAAUCUCAACUCCUUGAUUUCCCCCUGUACUGAAUAGUGCAGGUUAAGGGAGCAUUCCUCAAUUUUUUUGGGGUUCAAUGGAAACGCAUGAGUGUGGAGAAUUAAGGCACUCGAUGACUCAGGAAUGUGGAUGGAGAGAACGACAGUUGAAGACAUGGAUAUUGCUGUGCGAGCACAUCUAAAGGGAUGGAAGUUUCUGUAUGGAAUUCUUAACGAUGUUCAGUGUCGGUGUGAAUUGUCGGAGUCAUACGAAGCAUACAGAAAACAACAAGAUAGAUGGCAUUCUGGUCCGGUGCAGUUGUUUAGACUCUGCUUUGUGGACAUUAUCAAAUCAAAGGGUCAUCAUUUAUGUAUUUCCUCUUUGGAGGGCGAUCUUGUUGCCCACUGAGAAGCAAUCCAAGCAGCAGAGAGUAGGGUCUACGCCGAACCUCGACUCCCUAUCAAAGGAGGGGAAGUGGCUGCGAGCACGGCGUUGGGUCGAUGGUGUCGUGCCUCGGCAGCCGAGAUCAGGCAAGGCAGAUGGGAAGCAACAGUGUCGCCUCUCCCCCGAGCUCCAGAUCCAUGGCAGCAGCAAUGAGGUGAGCAGCCGCAAAGGUUCCCACCUGAACAGAUCGAGCUGUGACACCGGUACAACCACAACCUCCAAUACUACUACGACUGAUAGCUAUCUUCUACCCAAAUUGAUCAGGUUGGGGAUGGAGGGUGGUAAGAGGACCAUGUUAUCAUAGCAGUGGCGGUGGCUCAUCUUGGGUUACUCCGUCAUCCUAUAAGGUCGCCGACAGUCUAUCAGAUCUCUAGGAGGUGGCGUCCAGUGGUGAUGUCAGAAUGGCAGGGCCAGCUGUUGAUCCUGUAUGGCGUAUAGCACCGUAGAUGAAGUUCUUUGCCUGUCGCACCACUGUGCAGUUCAAGCCACUUACUAAUCCCUCCAUCUCAUUCUACUCUGCUCACAAGGCGUUUGACAGAUUGCAUCAUAUGUUCUUUCUUCACCAUUGUCUCUUAAUAUCAAUUGAACUCUGACAUUUCCCCUUCAUAUAUAUGGCGACCGAUACAAUAGCAUGCGGAUGUUUUGAAGUUGAGGCAGCUGAUGUUAUAUGUACCCCCUAUACCGAAGAAGUGGGCAUUCCAAUGGAUAGAUUGGGUCAAAUGUAAUCCAUAUAUACUACUUUUGAGAUCCAAUGGAGACAAGAAAAAUCGUGUUGCUGCUUCUGCUUUCGAUUGAACUCAGGACGACAAGCACUGAUUAUAUUUCAUUGUGAUAGCCGCUGCUGACACAGCUACUAUGGGCACGUGCAACUUCUAUUUUGCUCGCCACCAGAGACCACCGCCUAGAUCCAUCUCUUCUCAACCAUGCCGACACGGUGGUCAAGGGCGCUUACAACCUGUGAGGACCUGCGUUCUCCUUCUCUCGAGCCUUCGUCGCGAUGAAGCCGUGGGAGGAGAGGGGCACGCGCAUGAUGGAUCUGCUCAAGCACCUCAAGCAGCGCAUCUUCAAGGUACAGCUGCCAUCAACAUAAAUGUGGCUAUGUUGGAAGAUGGUACAGAAAUGUUCAUGCCGCUCAAAGCUAUUUGCAUGAAGCACUAUUAUUAGUAGUUACAGAAGAUGGCACUUACAAGGGUAUCCACCUCCUAUGAUGGAUAUUUUCGCUGUAGAACUUAUGCUAACUGGAUAUCAUAAUAUAUAUUAUCCAUGUAAGAAUCUAUUCAUUCUCAUUUUGUGAGUUCUCCUUAAUCGUUAUUUGAUUUUUAGAAUUUCACAUGAUGAUCCUUCAGGACCAUGUCAGUGUCUCCUAGAGAUUAGGUUCUUGUUUAGCUAAUGCUCGUGUUGCUGCUUAGAUGGCGAAACAUUGAAUCCUUUAGUGUCCAUAACAUUGCUUUGCAAACCCCCGCAAAGGAAAACAUUGCUUUGCAAACCUCUGAGACACUAGGGAUUGAUUGUAUUGCUUGGUUCUGGUA